This 1447-nucleotide ribosomal RNA is filed under the name Plenodomus biglobosus/Leptosphaeria biglobosa 'brassicae' group. RNAcentral describes it as "SSU rRNA". The stretch from base 2 to 1052 matches the Rfam family "Eukaryotic small subunit ribosomal RNA", at positions 4 to 1116 of the family's 1831-position model. The record is from RNAcentral. Lineage: Eukaryota; Fungi; Ascomycota; Dothideomycetes; Pleosporales; Leptosphaeriaceae. RNAcentral also lists the same sequence under 1 other name.
CCUAGUUAAUUCUGCUAGUAGUUAUAUGCUUGUCUUAAAGAUUAAGCUAUAUAUAUCUAAGUAUAAGCAAUUAUACCAUAAAACUGCAAAUAGCUUAUUAAAUUAGUUAUCGUUUAUUUAAUAGUACCUUACUACUUAGAUAACUAUAGUAAUUCUAGAGCUAAUACAUGCUAAAAACCCUAACUUUAGAAGGUUUGGCGCCAACAAUUAGAUAAAAAACCAACGCCCUUUAGGGCUUCUUAGUGAUUUAUAAUAACUUUACGGAUUAUAUAGCCUUACGCUAGCGACAGUUUAUUUAAAUUUCUGCCCUAUUAACUUUUAAUAGUAAGGUAUUAGCUUACCAUGGUUUUAACAGGUAACGGGGAAUUAGGGUUUAAUUCUAGAGAGGGAGCCUAAGAAAUGGCUACCACAUCUAAGGAAGGCAGCAGGCGCGCAAAUUACCUAAUCCUAAUAUAGGGAGGUAGUAACAAUAAAUACUAAUAUAGGGCUCUUUUAGGUCUUAUAAUUAGAAUAAGUAUAAUUUAAACCUCUUAACAAGGAACAAUUAGAGGGCAAGUCUAGUGCUAGCAGCUGCAGUAAUUCUAGCUCUAAUAGCGUAUAUUAAAGUUGUUACAGUUAAAAAGCUUAUAGUUAAAACUUAGGUCUAGCUAGCAGGUCCGCCUCACCGCGUGUACUUGUCCGGCCAGGCCUUCCUUCUAGAGAACCUUAUACCCUUUACUAGGCGUGUUAGGGACUAGGACUUUUACUUUGAAAAAAUUAGAGUGUUUAAAGCAGGCCUUUGCUUAAAUACGUUAGCAUAGAAUAAUAGAAUAGGACGUGCAGUCCUAUUUUAUUAGUUUCUAGGACUGCUGUAAUAAUUAAUAGGGACAGUUAGGGGCAUUAGUAUUUAAUUAUUAGAGGUAAAAUUCUUAGAUUUAUUAAAGACUAACUACUACAAAAGCAUUUGCUAAGGAUGUUUUUAUUAAUUAGUAAACAAAAGUUAGGGGAUUAAAGACAAUUAGAUACCGUCGUAGUCUUAACCGUAAACUAUGCUAACUAGGGAUUAGGCGAUGUGUAGAAAAUUGGAUCACUAAGGUUAGGAAUGAUUUAGGAGAUGGAUUAUUAGAUUGUAUCUACUACGAUCGGACUUAUAUAUAUAGAGCUUUAGCUACCCUUACUAGAAGGUGAAUAAUUAGUAAACCUUCCUUACUAGAGCUCCUGCUUUUUAUUAGGCGCUUAGCAGUAAGCUGGCAGUUAAUUAGAUAGUAGGUCAUAUAGGGGUAUUAAUUAGGAUUGAUUGGAUUAAGAUGCUCCGUGAUCCAGUUGAUAUCCCUCCUGCAACACACCCCCUAGGUAUAGGUGGAUCUUUUGUUGUUGUGGUUGCGCUUGUGGUUAGUAGGUAGUGUAGCUAAUUAGAGCGUCGUAUAUCCAAAGGGUUAAAUUAGCUCACCCUUUAGAUACUAACUAG